Molecule: ribosomal RNA, 331 nt
Filed under: uncultured eukaryote
Lineage: Eukaryota
Description: partial 18S ribosomal RNA
Rfam family: Eukaryotic small subunit ribosomal RNA
Source: RNAcentral
CCCUUAGAUGUUCUGGGCCGCACGCGCGCUACACUGACGAAGUCAGCGAGCAUGUCCUACGCCGACAGGUGCGGGGAAUCUUGUCAAACUUCGUCGUGAUGGGGAUUGAUUAUUGAAAUUCUUGAUCAUCAACGGGGAAUUCCUAGUAAGCGCAAGUCAGCAGCUUGCGUUGAUUACGUCCCUGCCCUUUGUACACACCGCCCGUCGCUACUACCGAUUGAAUGGUUUAGUGAGAUCUUCGGAUUGGCGCCACUGCGGCUCAGCAAUGGGCUCGGUGGAUGCCGAAAAGUUGAUCAAACUUGAUCAUUUAGAGGAAGUAAAAGUCGUAACA